UUCCAAGUGGUCUAGUGGUUAGGAUUCCACGCUCUCACCAUGGCGGCCGGUGUUCGAUUCCCCGCUUGGUAA
This 72-nucleotide transfer RNA is filed under the name Dreissena polymorpha. It matches the Rfam family "tRNA". From Rfam's summary of the family: Transfer RNA (tRNA) molecules are approximately 80 nucleotides in length. Their secondary structure includes four short double-helical elements and three loops (D, anti-codon, and T loops). Lineage: Eukaryota; Metazoa; Mollusca; Bivalvia; Myida; Dreissenidae. The record is from Rfam by way of RNAcentral.